GACGAACGCUGGCGGCGUGCCUAAUACAUGCAAGUCGAGCGGACGGAUGGGAGCUUGCUCCCAGACCGUCAGCGGCGGACGGGUGAGUAACACGUGGGCAACCUGCCUGUAAGACUGGGAUAACUCCGGGAAGCCGGGGCUAAUACCGGAUAACUCUUUCCCUCACAUGAGGGAAAGCUGAAAGAUGGCAUCUCGCUAUCACUUACAGAUGGGCCCGCGGCGCAUUAGCUAGUUGGUGAGGUAACGGCUCACCAAGGCGACGAUGCGUAGCCGACCUGAGAGGGUGAUCGGCCACACUGGGACUGAGACACGGCCCAGACUCCUACGGGAGGCAGCAGUAGGGAAUCUUCCGCAAUGGACGAAAGUCUGACGGAGCAACGCCGCGUGAGUGAUGAAGGUUUUCGGAUCGUAAAACUCUGUUGUCAGGGAAGAACAAGUACCGGAGCAACUGCCGGUACCUUGACGGUACCUGACCAGAAAGCCACGGCUAACUACGUG
Molecule: ribosomal RNA, 498 nt
Filed under: uncultured bacterium
Lineage: Bacteria
Description: partial 16S ribosomal RNA
Rfam family: Bacterial small subunit ribosomal RNA
Source: RNAcentral